This 853-nucleotide ribosomal RNA is filed under the name Wolbachia pipientis. Its description in RNAcentral is "bacterial SSU rRNA". It matches the Rfam family "Bacterial small subunit ribosomal RNA", at positions 73 to 961 of the family's 1533-position model. The record is from RNAcentral. Lineage: Bacteria; Pseudomonadati; Pseudomonadota; Alphaproteobacteria; Rickettsiales; Anaplasmataceae.
UUGUAGCCUGCUAUGGUAUAACUUAGUGGCAGAUGGUGUGAGUAAUGUAUAGGAAUCUACCUAGUAGUACGGAAUAAUUGUUGGAAACGACAACUAAUACCGUAUACGCCCUACGGGGGAAAAAUUUAUUGCUAUUAGAUGAGCCUAUAUUAGAUUAGCUAGUUGGUGGGGUAAUAGCCUACCAAGGUAAUGAUCUAUAGCUGAUCUGAGAGGAUGAUCAGCCACACUGGAACUGAGAUACGGUCCAGACUCCUACGGGAGGCAGCAGUGGGGAAUAUUGGACAAUGGGCGAAAGCCUGAUCCAGCCAUGCCGCAUGAGUGAAGAAGGCCUUUGGGUUGUAAAGCUCUUUUAGUGAGGAAGAUAAUGACGGUACUCACAGAAGAAGUCCUGGCUAACUCCGUGCCAGCAGCCGCGGUAAUACGGAGAGGGCUAGCGUUAUUCGGAAUUAUUGGGCGUAAAGGGCGCGUAGGCUGGUUAAUAAGUUAAAAGUGAAAUCCCGAGGCUUAACCUUGGAAUUGCUUUUAAAACUAUUAAUCUAGAGAUUGAAAGAGGAUAGGGGAAUUCCUGAUGUAGAGGUAAAAUUCGUAAAUAUUAGGAGGAACACCAGUGGCGAAGGCGUCUAUCUGGUUCAAAUCUGACGCUGAAGCGCGAAGGCGUGGGGAGCAAACAGGAUUAGAUACCCUGGUAGUCCACGCUGUAAACGAUGAAUGUUAAAUAUGGGGAGUUUACUUUCUGUAUUACAGCUAACGCGUUAAACAUUCCGCCUGGGGACUACGGUCGCAAGAUUAAAACUCAAAGGAAUUGACGGGGACCCGCACAAGCGGUGGAGCAUGUGGUUUAAUCGAUGCAACG